GGAUUUUUUUCCAUGCCACAUUAAUGGACAUGAUGUAUGCAUAAUUUUUUGUUUUACAUACAUUGUACAACAACAUGUAUAUAUGUACAAUAAUAUUUACUUUUUUCUUUCAGGAACAAUGAUAAACAAGUGAACUGAUGGUUUAAAACUACCAAGAUGUGAAGUAAUGAACUAAAGAGUAACGUGAAGUCAGACAAUACAACUUGAGGUGUCAGAAUUUGUGCAAAAUUUUUGUUAUUUGCAGAUAUAUGGAUGGAUUUUGUCAAAAUAUGAACUGAAACACUGGGA
Molecule: long non-coding RNA, 288 nt
Filed under: Mytilus galloprovincialis (Mediterranean mussel)
Lineage: Eukaryota; Metazoa; Mollusca; Bivalvia; Mytilida; Mytilidae
Source: RNAcentral